RNAcentral lists this ribosomal RNA (305 nucleotides) under uncultured bacterium. RNAcentral's name for it is "bacterial SSU rRNA". It matches the Rfam family "Bacterial small subunit ribosomal RNA", at positions 333 to 636 of the family's 1533-position model. The record is from RNAcentral.
CUGCCCCUACGGGGGGCAGCAGUGAGGAAUAUUGGUCAAUGGCUGGAAGGCUGAACCAGCCAAGUCGCGUGAGGGAAUAAGGCCCUAUGGGUCGUAAACCUCUUUGUCAGGGAGCCAAGGCGUCCACGUGUGGACGAGAGGAGAGUACCUGAAGAAAAAGCAUCGGCUAACUCCGUGCUAGCAGCCGCGGUAAUACGGAGGAUGCGAGCGUUAUCCGGAUUUAUUGGGUUUAAAGGGUGCGUAGGCGGAAUGCCAAGUCAGCGGUAAAAUCGCGGGGCUCAACCUCGCUCCGCCGUUGAAACUGG